This 252-nucleotide ribosomal RNA is filed under the name uncultured bacterium. Its description in RNAcentral is "partial 16S ribosomal RNA". It matches the Rfam family "Bacterial small subunit ribosomal RNA", at positions 524 to 776 of the family's 1533-position model. The record is from RNAcentral.
UACGGAGGAUGCGAGCGUUAUCCGGAUUUAUUGGGUUUAAAGGGUGCGUAGCCGGGAUGCCGAGUCAGCGGUAAAAAUGCGGUGCUCAACGCCGUCGAGCCGUUGAAACUGGCGUUCUUGAGUGGGCGAGAAGUAUGCGGAAUGCGUGGUGUAGCGGUGAAAUGCAUAGAUAUCACGCAGAACUCCGAUUGCGAAGGCAGCAUACCGGCGCCCUACUGACGCUGAGGCACGAAAGCGUGGGUAUCGAACAGG